RNAcentral lists this ribosomal RNA (465 nucleotides) under Achromobacter sp. NaF-Dte-2. Its description in RNAcentral is "bacterial SSU rRNA". It matches the Rfam family "Bacterial small subunit ribosomal RNA", at positions 30 to 488 of the family's 1533-position model. The record is from RNAcentral. RNAcentral also lists the same sequence under 1 other name. Lineage: Bacteria; Pseudomonadati; Pseudomonadota; Betaproteobacteria; Burkholderiales; Alcaligenaceae.
AUUGAACGCUAGCGGGAUGCCUUACACAUGCAAGUCGAACGGCAGCACGGACUUCGGUCUGGUGGCGAGUGGCGAACGGGUGAGUAAUGUAUCGGAACGUGCCUAGUAGCGGGGGAUAACUACGCGAAAGCGUAGCUAAUACCGCAUACGCCCUACGGGGGAAAGCAGGGGAUCGCAAGACCUUGCACUAUUAGAGCGGCCGAUAUCGGAUUAGCUAGUUGGUGGGGUAACGGCUCACCAAGGCGACGAUCCGUAGCUGGUUUGAGAGGACGACCAGCCACACUGGGACUGAGACACGGCCCAGACUCCUACGGGAGGCAGCAGUGGGGAAUUUUGGACAAUGGGGGAAACCCUGAUCCAGCCAUCCCGCGUGUGCGAUGAAGGCCUUCGGGUUGUAAAGCACUUUUGGCAGGAAAGAAACGUCAUGGGCUAAUACCCCGUGAAACUGACGGUACCUGCAGAAUA